UGGGGAAUAUUGGACAAUGGGCGAAAGCCUGAUCCAGCCAUGCCGCGUGUGUGAAGAAGGUCUUCGGAUUGUAAAGCACUUCAAGUUGGGAGGAAGGGCAGUAAGCGAAUACCUUGCUGUUUUGACGUUACCGACAGAAUAAGCACCGGCUAACUCUGUGCCAGCAGCCGCGGUAAUACAGAGGGUGCAAGCGUUAAUCGGAAUUACUGGGCGUAAAGCGCGCGUAGGUGGUUCGUUAAGUUGAAUGUGAAAGCCCCGGGCUCAACCUGGGAAAUGCAUCCAAAACUGGCGAGCUAGAGUAGGGCAGAGGGUGGUGGAAUUUCCUGUGUAGCGGUGAAAUGCGUAGAUAUAGGAAGGAACACCAGUGGCGAAGGCGACCACCUGGGCUCAUACUGACACUGAGGUGCGAAAGCGUGGGGAGCAAACAGG
Molecule: ribosomal RNA, 429 nt
Filed under: Pseudomonadota bacterium
Lineage: Bacteria; Pseudomonadati; Pseudomonadota
Description: Proteobacteria bacterium partial 16S ribosomal RNA
Rfam family: Bacterial small subunit ribosomal RNA
Source: RNAcentral